CCCGCACGCCGGAAGACCAAGGGUUCCUGUCCAACGUUAAUCGGGGCAGGGUGAGUCGACCCCUAAGGCGAGGCCGAAAGGCGUAGUCGAUGGGAAACAGGUUAAUAUUCCUGUACUUGGUGUUACUGCGAAGGGGGGACGGAGAAGGCUAUGUUGGCCGGGCGACGGUUGUCCCGGUUUAAGCAUGUAGGCGGAUGUUCCAGGUAAAUCCGGAACGUUACUAACGCUGAGGUGUGAUGACGAGGCACUACGGUGCUGAAGUGACAAAUGCCCUGCUUCCAGGAAAAGCCUCUAAGCAUCAGGUAACAUCAAAUCGUACCCCAAACCGACACAGGUGGUCAGGUAGAGAAUACCAAGGCGCUUGAGAGAACUCGGGUGAAGGAACUAGGCAAAAUGGUGCCGUAACUUCGGGAGAAGGCACGCUGAUGGUAAGUGAAGUGACUUGCUCACGGAGCUGAAAUCAGUCGAAGAUACCAGCUGGCUGCAACUGUUUAUUAAAAACACAGCACUGUGCAAACACGAAAGUGGACGUAUACGGUGUGACGCCUGCCCGGUGCCGGAAGGUUAAUUGAUGGGGUUAUCCUCACGGAGAAGCUCUUGAUCGAAGCCCCGGUAAACGGCGGCCGUAACUAUAACGGUCCUAAGGUAGCGAAAUUCCUUGUCGGGUAAGUUCCGACCUGCACGAAUGGCGUAAUGAUGGCCAGGCUGUCUCCACCCGAGACUCAGUGAAAUUGAACUCGCUGUGAAGAUGCAGUGUACCCGCGGCAAGACGGAAAGACCCCGUGAACCUUUACUAUAGCUUGACACUGAACACUGGUCCUUGAUGUGUAGGAUAGGUGGGAGGCUUUGAAGUGUGGACGCCAGUCUGCAUGGAGCCGUCCUUGAAAUACCACCCUUUAAUGGCUGGUGUUCUAACGUGGGCCCGUAAUCCGGGUUGCGGACAGUGUCUGGUGGGUAGUUUGACUGGGGCGGUCUCCUCCUAAAGAGUAACGGAGGAGCACGAAGGUCAGCUAAUCCUGGUCGGACAUCAGGAGGUUAGUGCAAUGGCAUAAGCUGGCUUGACUGCGAGCGUGACGGCGCGAGCAGGUGCGAAAGCAGGUCAUAGUGAUCCGGUGGUUCUGAAUGGAAGGGCCAUCGCUCAACGGAUAAAAGGUACUCCGGGGAUAACAGGCUGAUACCGCCCAAGAGUUCAUAUCGACGGCGGUGUUUGGCACCUCGAUGUCGGCUCAUCACAUCCUGGGGCUGAAGUAGGUCCCAAGGGUAUGGCUGUUCGCCAUUUAAAGUGGUACGCGAGCUGGGUUUAGAACGUCGUGAGACAGUUCGGUCCCUAUCUGCCGUGGGCGCUGGAGAAUUGAGGGGGGCUGCUCCUAGUACGAGAGGACCGGAGUGGACGCAUCACUGGUGUUCGGGUUGUCAUGCCAAUGGCAUUGCCCGGUAGCUAAAUGCGGAAGAGAUAAGUGCUGAAAGCAUCUAAGCACGAAACUUGCCCCGAGAUGAGUUCUCCCUGACUCCUUGAGAGUCCUGAAGGAACGUUGAAGACGACGACGUUGAUAGGCCGGGUGUGUAAGCGCAGCGAUGCGUUGAGCUAACCGGUACUAAUGAACCGUGAGGCUUAACCUU
This 1620-nucleotide ribosomal RNA is filed under the name Klebsiella oxytoca MGH 42. RNAcentral's name for it is "bacterial LSU rRNA". It matches the Rfam family "Bacterial large subunit ribosomal RNA", at positions 1329 to 2925 of the family's 2925-position model. Lineage: Bacteria; Pseudomonadati; Pseudomonadota; Gammaproteobacteria; Enterobacterales; Enterobacteriaceae. The record is from RNAcentral.